RNAcentral lists this ribosomal RNA (355 nucleotides) under uncultured eukaryote. Its description in RNAcentral is "SSU rRNA". It matches the Rfam family "Eukaryotic small subunit ribosomal RNA", at positions 594 to 945 of the family's 1831-position model. The record is from RNAcentral.
AGAGCAUAUAUUAAAGUUGUUGCAGUUAAAAAGCUCGUAGUUGGACUUCUGGUUUAAUGCACCUGGCCCGCAGCCAACAGGUUUGUGAGUGCCGGCGCGCGUUUACCAUCCUUCCAGGAAACGAGUCUUCCCUUAACUGGGCCGGACUCGGGAUCUGGAUCAUUUACUUUGAAAAAAUUAGAGUGUUUAAAGCAGGCUUUUGCUAUGAAUACAUUAGCAUGGAAUAAUAAUCUAGGACUUCGGUUCUAUUUUGUUGGUUUCUAUAACUGAAGUAAUGAUUGAUAGGGAUAGUUGGGGGUGCUAGUAUUGGCCGGUCAGAGGUGAAAUUCUUGGAUUGCAGCAAGACGAACAACUG